CGGCCCCUAUUCUAGGGGUGUAGGGGUAGGUCAGUUUGGUAAUUUAGUUGAUUUCAUUUCUUGCUGAGGGGGCGUGCUUGUAGUAUUGGCCCCACUUUUCCUGUCCUUUCGUACUGGGGAGAGUCCUGUCACAGAUAGAAACCGACCUGGAUUGCUCCGGUCUGAACUCAGAUCACGUAGGACUAUUAAUCGUUGAACAAACGAACCCUUAAUAGCGGCUGCACCAUUAGGGUGUCCUGAUCCAACAUCGAGGUCGUAAACCUCCUUGUCGAUAUGAGCUCUUGAAGGAGAUUGCGCUGUUAUCCCUGGGGUAGCUUGGUUCAUUGGUCAAUUGUAUUGGGUCGGGUUACUGUUAGUACGUUGAGGGGUUGCUCUUGGUUAAGAGGGGUGGUCUUAUUUUUGGAGGAUUUGUUUUUCUCCAAGGUCGCCCCAACCAAAAAAUGUAGGCCAAUGCGGGAAUAGGGUAGACCUGAUAGGUAGGAGAGGUUGUUGGGGGGUGGUCCUAGAUUUUUAAGUUCCACAGGGUCUUCUCGUCUUGUGGUUUUAUCCAUGCUUUUGCACAGGGAGAUCAAUUUCACUGAUUGUCUGCAGGAGACAGUUAGGACCUCGUUUAGCCAUUCAUACAAGUCUCGAUUUAUGAGACAAUUGAUUGCGCUACCUUCGCACGGUUAGGAUACCGCGGCCGUUGAACAUGAUGUCACUGGGCAGGCGUCACCUUCAAUACUCGGUCCGCUGAAGGCUAUGUUUUUGGUAAACAGUCGGGCCCUGGAUUUGCCUAGUUCCUUCUACAGAUUUGAAUCUUUCCAGUGGGGCGCUCCUGAGUUGGCGUUAACAGCUGUUGUUAAUAUUGAAUCUUGUGGCGGUUUACAUAUUGGGUGCUUGUUAAUUAUUGUGAGUAUGUAAGUUUGCGCUCGAGAGGGAUGACCCGUAGUUACUCAUUUUAGCAUUGAUUCUCCUAUUGUUAUAGGUUGGCCUGUUAGUGUGAAGGGAAUCGUGUUGUUCUUGAAUUUUUGGGUGUUGAGCUUUGACGCAUUCUUUGUUGGUGGCUGCUUUAAGGCCUACAGGGUUUGUGCAGUGCUGGAUUAUCCUCUGGGGGAGAUUGUAUUCUUUUUUAAAGGAGCUGUACCUCCUUUAAAUUACUCUAGGCUAAUUCGUGGGGGCUUGGCGGAUGUGUGUCCUUGGAGAAUAGUCGAGAGGGAACUUAGAUUCAUCUCACAGGCAACCAGCUAUCACCCAGCUCGGUUGGCUUUUCACCUCUACUAGCAAGUCGUCCCACUCUUUUGCGACAGAGACGGGUUCGCUCGGAUAGCUGCUUGCGAGUAGCUCGCUUAGGUUUCGGGGUGGCAAGCUUAAGUUCGUUUUGCUUGGUUGUUCUUGCUAAAUCAUGAUGCAAAAGGUACAAGGGUCGAUCUUUGCUGUUUGUGGCUUAGGUUUCAUUGUUAUUUCAUCUUUCCCUUACGGUACAGAUCUCUAUGGCGUCAAUGUUGGGGCCUUUUCUAUCGCCUAUACUAGGGCCUAGGUGAAUGUUUUGGUUGGUGGCGGGAAUAGGAUCAAUUCUUACUAAUUUCAUUGGAAUGUGGUUGGGCUAGAGUUUGGC
This 1597-nucleotide ribosomal RNA is filed under the name Bycanistes brevis (silvery-cheeked hornbill). RNAcentral describes it as "16S ribosomal RNA". Lineage: Eukaryota; Metazoa; Chordata; Aves; Bucerotiformes; Bucerotidae. The record is from RNAcentral.